CAAUAGCGUAUAUUAAAGUUGUUGCGGUUAAAAAGCUCGUAGUUGGAUUUCUGUUGGGAACGACCGGUCCGCCCAUUGGGUGUGUAUCUGGCUUGUUCUCGGCAUCUUCUUGGUGAACGUUGCUGCACUUGACUGUGUGGAGCGCUACCCAGGACUUUUACUUUGAGGAAAUUAGAGUGUUUCAAGCAGGCAUAUGCCUUGAAUACAUUAGCAUGGAAUAAUAAGAUAGGACCUCGGUUCUAUUUUGUUGGUUUCUAGAGCUGAGGUAAUGAUUAAUAGGGAUAGUUGGGGGCAUUCGUAUUUAACUGUCUGAGGUGAAAUUCUUGGAUUUGUUAAAGACGGACUACUGCGAAAGCAUUUGCCAAGGAUGUUUUCAUUGA
Molecule: ribosomal RNA, 380 nt
Filed under: uncultured eukaryote
Lineage: Eukaryota
Description: partial 18S ribosomal RNA
Rfam family: Eukaryotic small subunit ribosomal RNA
Source: RNAcentral